UCUCGUGGUCCGGGACCCCUCCCUCCUUACUGCCCAUCUGCUUGCUGCUUCCUACCGCUCGGCUUGCUGCUCCUUAGCGCUGCCGCGAAGGCCUUGGGUCUGCUGGGUGCCGGUCCUGCGGGUUUGUGUCUCUGAUACCCCCAGCAGCCCCAGCACCGCCUAAAUAACUUAAGGGAAACUUUACUUAGUCUUCUUUUAAAAGCAAUCUAGUUUAAAAAUUAGUUGCAGUUAAGAGAGAACAAAGAACAUGGUACCUAAGAGUGAGAUAGACAGACAGAGGAGAGGCUGGGCACUGGUCGGGGGCUUACAUGCCAACUGUUCUCCACCCGGGAAAUGAUGUAAAAUCGGUUUCUUUAGUUUUCUGCUCAAUGUGGGACUCCAGCACUGAGGUCAGAGGAGCCGCCUUACAGCCCCCAGGCUGCUUCUCGGAGUC
Molecule: long non-coding RNA, 433 nt
Organism: Myotis daubentonii (Daubenton's bat)
Lineage: Eukaryota; Metazoa; Chordata; Mammalia; Chiroptera; Vespertilionidae
Exons: 2
Source: RefSeq, a predicted model, not a curated record